Molecule: ribosomal RNA, 460 nt
Filed under: uncultured bacterium
Lineage: Bacteria
Description: partial 16S ribosomal RNA
Rfam family: Bacterial small subunit ribosomal RNA
Source: RNAcentral
CCUACGAGAGGCAGCAGUGAGGAAUAUUGGUCAAUGGACGCAAGUCUGAACCAGCCAUGCCGCGUGCAGGAAGACUGCUCUAUGAGUUGUAAACUGCUUUUGUACGAGGGUAAACGCAAAUACGCGUAUCUGUCUGAAAGUAUCGUACGAAUAAGGAUCGGCUAACUCCGUGCCAGCAGCCGCGGUAAUACGGAGGAUUCAAGCGUUAUCCGGAUUUAUUGGGUUUAAAGGGUGCGUAGGCGGUCGGAUAAGUUAGAGGUGAAAUCCCGAGGCUCAACUUCGGAAUUGCCUCUGAUACUGUUCGGCUAGAGAGUAGUUGAGGUAGGCGGAAUGUAUGGUGUAGCGGUGAAAUGCUUAGAGAUCAUACAGAACACCGAUUGCGAAGGCAGCUUACCAAGCUACUUCUGACGUUGAGGCACGAAAGUGUGGGGAGCAAACAGGAUUAGAUACCCUUGUAGUC